AUUGGGAAGAACCAACAGGGGAUUGCCCCAGUAACGGCGAGUGAAGCGGCAACAGCUCAAAUUUGAAAUCUGGCCCCAGGCCCGAGUUGUAAUUUGCAGAGGAUGCUUUUGGCGCGGUGCCUUCCGAGUUCCCUGGAACGGGACGCCAUAGAGGGUGAGAGCCCCGUACGGUUGGACACCAAGCCUUUGUAAAGCUCCUUCGACGAGUCGAGUAGUUUGGGAAUGCUGCUCAAAAUGGGAGGUAUAUUUCUUCUAAAGCUAAAUAUUGGCCAGAGACCGAUAGCGCACAAGUAGAGUGAUCGAAAGAUGAAAAGCACUUUGAAAAGAGGGUUAAACAGCACGUGAAAUUGUUAAAAGGGAAGCGCUUGUGACCAGACUUGCGCCCGGUGAAUCACCCAGCUCUCGCGGCUGGGGCACUUUGCCGGCACAGGCCAGCAUCAGCUCGCCGUCGGGGACAAAAGUAGGGGGAACGUAGCUCCCUUCGGGGAGUGUUAUAGCCCCCUACAUAAUACCCUUCGGCGGGCUGAGGUACGCGCUCCGCAAGGAUGCUGGCGUAAUGGUCACCAGCGACCCGUCUUGAAACACGGACCAAGGAGUCAACCUUAUGUGCGAGUGUUUGGGUGUCAAACCCCUACGCGUAAUGAAAGUGAACGCAGGUGAGAGCUUCGGCGCAUCAUCGACCGAUCCUGAUGUUCUCGGAUGGAUUUGAGUAAGAGCAUAUAGGGUUGGACCCGAAAGAAGGUGAACUAUGCGUGUAUAGGGUGAAGCCAGAGGAAACUCUGGUGGAGGCUCGCAGCGGUUCUGACGUGCAAAUCGAUCGUCAAAUAUGCGCAUGGGGGCGAAAGACUAAUCGAACCUUCUAGUAGCUGGUUUCCGCCGAAGUUUCCCUCAGGAUAGCAGUGUUGAACUCAGUUUUAUGAGGUAAAGCGAAUGAUUAGGGACUCGGGGGCGCUAUAUUGCCUUCAUCCAUUCUCAAACUUUAAAUAUGUAAGAAGCCCUUGUUACUUAAUUGAACGUGGCAUUCGAAUGUAUCAACACUAGUGGGCCUUUUUGGUAAGCAGACUGGCGAUGCGGGAUGAACCGAACCCCAGGUUAAGGUGCCAGAAAAAUCCCCCAUCCAAACCCCACAAAGGGGUUAGAAAUCUUGAAGCAGGACGUGGCCUGGAAUCGGAAUCCGCUAAGGAGGGGUAACACCCCCUGCCAAGGACAACCCGAAAAAGGAGGGGCCCAACCCCCCCCCUCCCCCCCCCCUUAAAAAAGCCUAAAGAGUGGCGGGGGGGGGGGGGAAACCGGGGGGGGCCCGGAACCCCCUUGGAUUUUGGGGAAAAGACUUAAAAGAAAAAAACACGGUGAGUC
This 1356-nucleotide ribosomal RNA is filed under the name Colletotrichum falcatum. RNAcentral's name for it is "partial large subunit ribosomal RNA". It matches the Rfam family "Eukaryotic large subunit ribosomal RNA", at positions 53 to 1434 of the family's 3401-position model. Lineage: Eukaryota; Fungi; Ascomycota; Sordariomycetes; Glomerellales; Glomerellaceae. The record is from RNAcentral.